Molecule: ribosomal RNA, 261 nt
Filed under: uncultured bacterium
Lineage: Bacteria
Description: partial 16S ribosomal RNA
Rfam family: Bacterial small subunit ribosomal RNA
Source: RNAcentral
UACGGAGGGUGCGAGCGUUAAUCGGAAUUACUGGGCGUAAAGGGUGCGUAGGUGGUUGGCUAAGUUAUCUGUAAAAUCCCUGGGCUUAACCUGGGCAGGUCAGAUGAUACUGGUUGACUCGAGUAUGGGAGAGGGUAGUGGAAUUUCCGGUGUAGCGGUGAAAUGCGUAGAGAUCGGAAGGAACACCAGUGGCGAAGGCGGCUACCUGGCCUAAUACUGACACUGAGGCACGAAAGCGUGGGGAGCAAACAGGAUUAGAAA